UUGUGUGAGUAAUUUUGUGAACGAGCUCAUGAAUGACUGUGUUUGUAGCCCCACGGGGAAACCUACGGGGCAUGAGAGGGCCCUAACCUGCGGAUCCUGUGUC
Phyllostomus discolor (pale spear-nosed bat) is the source of this 103-nucleotide long non-coding RNA. RefSeq lists it as uncharacterized. The transcript is spliced from 3 exons. Lineage: Eukaryota; Metazoa; Chordata; Mammalia; Chiroptera; Phyllostomidae. The record is from RefSeq and is a predicted model, not a curated record.